This 67-nucleotide transfer RNA is filed under the name Cardiobacterium hominis. It matches the Rfam family "tRNA". From Rfam's summary of the family: Transfer RNA (tRNA) molecules are approximately 80 nucleotides in length. Their secondary structure includes four short double-helical elements and three loops (D, anti-codon, and T loops). Further hydrogen bonds mediate the characteristic L-shaped molecular structure. tRNAs have two regions of fundamental functional importance: the anti-codon, which is responsible for specific mRNA codon recognition, and the 3' end, to which the tRNAs corresponding amino acid is attached (by aminoacyl-tRNA synthetases). tRNAs cope with the degeneracy of the genetic code in two manners: having more than one tRNA (with a specific anti-codon) for a particular amino acid; and 'wobble' base-pairing, i.e. permitting non-standard base-pairing at the 3rd anti-codon position. RNAcentral also lists the same sequence under 2 other names. Lineage: Bacteria; Pseudomonadati; Pseudomonadota; Gammaproteobacteria; Cardiobacteriales; Cardiobacteriaceae. The record is from RNAcentral.
AGUAUAGCGCAGUCUGGUAGCGCAUCUGGUUUGGGACCAGGGGGUCGGGGGUUCAAAUCCCUCUACU